This 495-nucleotide ribosomal RNA is filed under the name uncultured bacterium. RNAcentral describes it as "partial 16S ribosomal RNA". It matches the Rfam family "Bacterial small subunit ribosomal RNA", at positions 28 to 507 of the family's 1533-position model. The record is from RNAcentral.
GAUGAACGCUGGCGGCGUGCCUAAUACAUGCAAGUAGAACGCUGAAGGAGGAGCUUGCUCUUCUGGAUGAGUUGUGAACGGGUGAGUAACGCGUAGGUAACCUGCCUGGUAGCGGGGGAUAACUAUUGGAAACGAUAGCUAAUACCGCAUGACAACAGUUAUUGCAUGAUAACUGUUUAAAAGGGGCAACUGCUCCACUACCAGAUGGACCUGCGUUGUAUUAGCUAGUUGGUGAGGUAACGGCUCACCAAGGCGCCGAUACAUAGCCGACCUGAGAGGGUGAUCGGCCAAACUGGGACUGAGACACGGCCCAGACUCCUACGGGAGGCAGCAGUAGGGAAUCUUCGGCAAUGGACGGAAGUCUGACCGAGCAACGCCGCGUGAGGGAAGAAGGUUUUCGGAUCGUAAAGCUCUGUUGUAAGAGAAGAACGAGUGUGAGAGUGGAAAGUUCACACUGUGACGGUAUCUUACCAGAAAGGGACGGCUAACUACGUG